Molecule: long non-coding RNA, 1322 nt
Filed under: Heterocephalus glaber (naked mole-rat)
Lineage: Eukaryota; Metazoa; Chordata; Mammalia; Rodentia; Bathyergidae
Description: lncRNA (ENSHGLG00000036308.1)
Source: RNAcentral
GGGGAGGAGCCGGUUUUACCCGGAGGCGCGGGUCCUGCGGUCGGUGCCGCGCCGGUCACCCAGGCCCUGGGACCGCUGCCAGGGAGCGCGGCGGGGCGGCCAGGUGGCCGCGCGGGGUCUCCGAGCCGAUAGAGGCCGAGCGUGGGGAGCCUGCAGGGGUGAUCGGCGUGGCCGCGCACUGGGCCGUAGCGGUCUGAGGGAUCCGGGCUUCUGGGCGCUGAAACAGGUCCCUGGCGGAGGGGCCCAGACCCUGAGCUUGGGCACCCAUGGGCCAGGCAGCUGCCUAGUACUCGCCGCACGCCGGGCAGUGAGGGUCCGCGGCGCUCUGUGGGCCACCUUGUGGAGUCACGGGGCGAUCACUGCCUACCUGGCUGCCGGGAGGAGCCCAGGCCCCAAGCCCGGAGACACACUCACUGUCCCAGAUUCCUUCUGGGACUGGGAGCAGGCCGAGGCCAGAAACUGAAGCGCAGACAGGGAAGUGAGCCUCUUCACCUCCCUUAUGCUGGAGGACAGGGUGAGGGCACAGGAGCAUCUCAGGGCCACAGUGAUCUGGCUUUUCUGCAGGUGAAGCAUGGAGGAAGCAAAAGAGAUGCGAAAGGAGAAAUACUGUCACACAAGCAGUCACAGUUUGAAGCAUGUGAAGGAUUCGACCUGUCCCUGUUGAUUUGAAGAUGAAGAUAACAGUGUAAUGAGGAAAGCAGGUUGCCUUGGAAGCUGAGAGAGGCCUCUGGCUGACACUGGGAAAUAGAGUCACCUGCCCUGCAACACAAGGGGCUGAAUUCAGCCAACAACCUGAAUGAGGUUGAAGGCAUAUUCAUCUCCCAAGCCUCUAGAAGAAAGAAGCCAUGGACACCUGGCUUUUGGCUUUAUGAAACUCAACUCAGCCACACUCUGGGACUUCUGAAUUACAGAACUGUAAGAAAAUGAAUGAGGGUUUCAGCCAUUAUGUUUACGGUGCAGUGUCAAUGGGGUACUCAUUCAUAGCCACACCAAAUCUUGAAAUUGGGUGUGUACUUUAAACCCACAAUACACUUCAGUUUGAACUUGCUUUCUACAAGUAUUCAAUAUCACAUGUAUCUAGUGGCUAUGCUGAUGGGCAGUACAUAUCUAGACCAAGAAGAAGCAAGAAAUUUGGAAGUGCCAGAUGUGUACACUGAGUAUAAUUGUUGACCUGUGGAGAGAGAAGAGAGGAGUAAGGAAGGGAGGAACUUGACAAGUUUUUUUUCCUAAUUCUCUUUCCUGUCCCAUGUGAAAUAAUAGAAACAAGCUCACACAGAAAACAGGCUACAUUUUAUAAGUCAGCUAUUUUAAAUCUAUUGACU